UUACCCAAAGCUCUAAGAUCCAAUCCACUAGAACUUCUUCAUUUUCCGCUUCACGUCGCUCAAUCAACCUUCUACCACAAACAACUUCAAGCAUAACCAACCCAAAGGCGAAAACAUCUGUGCUUGUAGUUGCUCUUGUUGAAAGUUAAACUUGAUUUUGAAUCAAGUUUAAUUAUUGGAUCAAUUAUCCAAUAAUUAAUUAUGGCCAAAUCCAAGUUCUAGAGUUUUCUCUAGAAAUAUCAUCAUUUCCACCUCCUUAAAGGAUUCUAGAAAUUUUCUAGAAUCAUCUUCCACCUCCUUAAACAUAAAAAUCUAGAUACUCUAAUAGAAUAAUCUAGAUAAUUUGAAUAAUGUAAUCUAGAUCUUAUGUAAGAACUCUCUAGACUUAAGAUUAAAAUAUUUUAGAUAUUUUGUAGUUUGGAGGCUAUAAAUACCUCCUCCCCCUCUCAAAUGUUGUAAUGUUGUGAAGUUGUAUUCAAGUUUAAAGCAAAGUAAUAAAAGUUCUAUUUCCUAAAAAACUCUCUCAAAACACUUAAACACUUUCUCCAUUACCUCUAAAAGAAUUUUACUCUAACAAAGUGGUAUCAGAGCUUGAAGAUCCUAAAGAUGGCGAGUAACAAUGUUCCCUUCCAAGUCCCGGUGCUCACAAAGAGCAACUAUGAUAAUUGGAGUCUACGAAUGAAGGCUAUCCUAGGAGCACAUGACGUGUGGGAGAUAGUCGAGAAAGGUUUCAUUGAACCGGAGAAUGAAGGUAGUCUUUCUCAAACUCAAAAAGAUGGUUUGAGAGACUCAAGAAAGAGAGACAAGAAAGCUCUCUGUCUAAUCUAUCAAGGAUUAGAUGAAGAUACGUUCGAGAAGGUCGUUGAAGCUACGUCGGCGAAAGAAGCAUGGGAGAAGCUUCGAACCUCUUACAAAGGUGCCGAUCAAGUCAAGAAAGUACGUCUUCAAACUCUAAGAGGAGAAUUUGAAGCACUACAAAUGAAGGAAGGUGAACUCGUCUCCGAUUACUUCUCAAGAGUGUUGACGGUUACUAAUAACCUUAAAAGAAACGGAGAGAAGCUAGAUGAUGUGAGAAUCAUGGAGAAAGUUCUUAGAUCAUUGGAUCUAAAAUUUGAGCAUAUUGUCACCGUCAUUGAAGAAACAAAAGAUUUAGAAGCUAUGACAAUAGAGCAACUUCUUGGGUCAUUACAAGCUUAUGAAGAAAAGAAGAAGAAGAAAGAAGAUAUCGUCGAACAAGUCCUCAAUAUGCAAAUUACAAAAGAAGAAAACGGCCAAAGUUACCAAAGAAGAGGUGGUGGUCAAGUUCGAGGACGAGGUCGUGGUGGAUAUGGAAAUGGACGUGGUUGGAGGCCACAUGAAGACAACACAAACCAAAGAGGUGAAAACUCAUCAAGAGGUCGUGGGAAAGGACACCCAAAAUCAAGAUACGAUAAAUCAAGUGUCAAAUGCUACAAUUGCGGGAAGUUUGGACAUUAUGCUUCUGAAUGUAAAGCUCCUAGCAACAAAAAAUUUAAGGAGAAGGCCAACUACGUUGAAGAAAAAAUUCAAGAAGAAGACAUGUUAUUAAUGGCUAGCUACAAGAAAGAUGAACAAGAAGAGAAUCAUAAGUGGUACCUCGAUAGUGGUGCAAGUAAUCACAUGUGCGGGAGAAAAAGUAUGUUCGCGGAGCUUGAUGAAUCGGUGAGAGGAAAUGUGGCUUUAGGAGAUGAAUCGAAGAUGGAGGUAAAAGGUAAAGGAAACAUUCUCAUUCGAUUGAAGAAUGGAGAUCAUCAAUUUAUUUCCAACGUUUACUAUAUUCCGAGCAUGAAGACAAACAUCUUGAGCCUUGGACAACUCUUAGAGAAAGGUUAUGAUAUUAGAUUAAAAGAUAAUAACCUUUCAAUAAGAGACAAAGAAAGCAAUCUCAUUACCAAGGUGCCAAUGUCGAAAAAUAGAAUGUUUGUCCUCAACAUUCGAAAUGACAUUGCACAAUGUCUUAAGAUGUGUUACAAAGAGGAGUCUUGGCUAUGGCAUCUUCGAUUCGGACAUCUAAAUUUUGGAGGAUUGGAGUUGCUUUCAAGGAAGGAAAUGGUGAGAGGGCUACCUUGUAUAAAUCAUCCAAAUCAAGUGUGUGAAGGAUGUCUACUUGGAAACCAAUUCAAAAUGAGCUUUCCA
Molecule: small RNA, 2154 nt
Filed under: Arabidopsis thaliana (thale cress)
Lineage: Eukaryota; Viridiplantae; Streptophyta; Magnoliopsida; Brassicales; Brassicaceae
Description: ATSL186160
Source: RNAcentral